Molecule: long non-coding RNA, 3465 nt
Filed under: Homo sapiens (human)
Lineage: Eukaryota; Metazoa; Chordata; Mammalia; Primates; Hominidae
Description: HSALNT0312360
Source: RNAcentral
AAGGUGGGCUCAAUGUCAUCACAAGGGUGCUUAAGAGGGAAAGAGGAAGCCAUGAGGGUCAGAGUCAAAGGAAGACUUGAAGAUACUACACUGCGGACUUUAAAGAUGAAGGAAGGGGCGAAAACCAAGAAUGUGGGAAGCCUCUAGAAGCUAGAGAAGGCAAGGAAACAAAUUUUCCACUAGAGCCUCCAGAAGGAACACAGCCCUGCUGACCCACUGUAAUGUCUGACCUCUAGAUGUGUAAGGGUAGUAAGACUGAAAGUCUCAGAAAGGCACUGUUAAAUUCUUAUUCCUCAACUAUGCAACUCAAAACUGGGGUCCUCAGCAGUGAGCGAGGGGUGAGAGAAGACACUGUAUAAACAUGGCACAUCCUCCUGGAAAGUCAACUUUACUCAAAGGUUCUUACACACAGUGACAGCUAGCAGAGUCUAAAAUGCUGACAUUAUGACUUAGAGAUGUGAUAAAGAGAAACAUCUAUUGCAUUUUCUGUAAGUAAAUGUGGUGCCGGCAUUGAGAGAACAUACGUAAUCAGAUACCUGUUCUCCCUGAGUUUCUUAAUUUAAGCCUCGCGAUUCCUAAUUAGCAGUUAGAUUGCAUCCAUUGUUAUUUUGUCUUUGGUUAUCAAUGAUGAUCAACCUUUGCUAAACAAAGAUAUGUCAUCAUGCUGGGGACACUCAUGGAUUUUUUUUUAAAGGUUUUAACAUUUGAUAAUAGGUUUUCCAAUAGCUUGAAGGGUAGCUUUUAACAUUUCUUUUCCAGCUGAAGUAUUUCCUGAGUUCUGUCCAAGCCCUCUGUAGUUAAAGAAAAGGCUUUUUGACACUGAAUAGACAAUGUUGUGGCUUUUUUUUUCCUUCUUCAGACAAAUGUAUAGGCAUUUAGACCGCCACGUUGUACUCUCGUAAUUGAGAUACCUUGCAGAAAUGGCAAUUAAGGGUGACUCGUGUCAAAAAUAUUCAGGACAAAUUACAUUUUACUGAUUUUUAAAAACUUUCAAAGGUACUCUCUCCUCUUUCUUUCUCCUUUCUCUCUUCCUGCCUCCCUCCCACCCGCUCCUCGUUUUUUCUUUUAAAUAUUAAGUAAACUAUUUGCAUUUUUACGUCUCAUCAAAGUUGUUCCAGGUUUUUUCUGGGUUUACUGAAACUCCAAAUCGACUACUCAGAUCAAAACAAUUAGUGAAGUCUAAGGUAUUCUUAAUUCCUGAAAUGAAAACAGAAUGGACGUUCGGGACGUUCUGUUUUGCUCUGGCUACCCGCUUGGCUUCUCGCUCAGAAUAUUCUUGCUCUCAAGUUAGUUCCAGUUCUGUUUAUUUUGUCCUGAGCUCAGUGAACUUUCCAAAGCCCUACUCUUCAAACAACACUUUUUUUCCCCCGCCCCGUGAGCUGGAGUUUAUUUUGUGCUCACCCUUCAUUCUGUGAGUUGUGAAUAAUUUUAACACAAAGAAAAAAAAAUCUCCUCCUGACCACGGAGAGAAGAGGGGAUUUUAGAAUAAAGAUAAAAAUUGCUGUUUUAGCCCCCAAAGCAAAGGACUUGGGAAAGAAGAGAAAAGGGGGGAAAAUAGAACAGCAAAGGAAAAAAAAAAAAAAAAAAAACAGAAAAAAAUUUUUUAUAAGGGUGUCAGUACAAAACAGGUGUUUGAUGAAGCUCAAGCAAAACAAAUGACAAAGUUAGCAUUGAAAGGCCAAAUACGUGAUACACAUUUAAACUACUUAGGUAAAUUUAUUUAUGAAAUAAAUAUGCAGUUUUUCAAAUUUGAACAUGGAGCAAAUGUUUACAGAUUGAAACUUAUCAUUUCUUGAUUACCAGUAUGAAGUAGGGCAAUAGUCCUAUUGAAAGCCAUUCUUAAUUGGGCUCAUUGUAAAUGUUUGGUUAAAAGAAAAGAUUAAAGUGAGCUUUGGCCUCUGUGGAAUGCUGAGGCUGGUGAAAUUUCUGGUUCUAGCAUUAUCCUCAAAUUGUCUCACAGAGAAUUAUAUUUUACAAAGUUAGAAGGCGGAAGAACCCUACUCUUUGUUUUAGGUUUGCCUAGCAUCCAGUCAGAGAUGGGUAAAUAAGGACAGAACCAUGGGACUCCAGUGGCCUUACUUAGGAGGCCCAUACUAAUGGCAACGGCAAGACAGUGCUACAUAGACAUAAAUAAUCUGUGAUUGCAGAUGUGCAGGUACAGUAUAAAAAAAUUAUUCUAUCCUUAUAGUCUUAGGUGUUGGCACAUUUCUUUUGAGCCCAUGUAUAGAAGAGGACAACAUGAAAAAUGAAAUAUUCAAGCCGUGGAGAAAAAGAAAAUAUAUUGUUGUAUUUUAUUUAUGGAAUGCCCACUAUGUGCUGGUUCUCUACUGGCCCUAGAGAAGUACAGCUGUGAUCAAGACAGACAUAGUUCCUGCCCCCAUGGAGCUUACAAUCUAUCGCAGAGCUAGACCAGGGAAAAGAGUAUGAAGUGUGUAGAAUGAGAAGUAGAGAGUGUUACAGGAACACCCAGAAAACUAAGGUUAUUGGUUUAGUUGAUUUUUCCCCCUCUUUUUUUCUUCCCUCUUUUUCCUCUUCACCGUCUCUUUUCCUCUUCCCUUUCUUUCUCUCUUUCCCCUUUCCCUCUCUCUUUGUUCCUCUCUUUCCCUCUUGAUCUUUAUUUUCCAAACAGAAUUCAGCCAAACUCAUUUUUUAAAAGAGAAACAGUCUAACAUUAUUUAGAAAGAGCAGCAUAUUAUAAGUGGUUACAGCCAUAGACUUGGAAGGGUGUGACCCAGAUUGGAAUCCUGGCUCUGCCAUCAACUAGCCUGUAUUCUUACUCAAAAGAUAUUAUCUGUGUCUUCUUUUAUUAAAAAUAGGGCUAGAAAUAUGUACUUUUAGGAAUUUAUAGGAAUUUUAGAUGUGACCUUGUAAGUAAAGUCUCUGGCUUCCUUUCUAGCAGGUAGUGAUCAUGCUAAAAUCGUUAGCUACUACCAUAUUAUUAUUAUUACUAUUACUAUUAUUAUUUUUCUUUUUAUUUUGUAGAAGCAAUGUCUGUAUUAUACAACAGCUAAAAAAUAGUGAAUGAUGAUAUUAAUCAAUUGAAAGAAUUUUCUCCAAAAACAAUGACUAGCUUUGGAAUUACGUAAUUCUUAUGUUUUGUUUUGCCUAUUCACAAAAGCUGUUGUUUUUGAAUGUUAAAUAUAAAAACCAUUUUCAAUAAAUAAAUUUUUAGAUAAGAUACUAGAGCCAUAUUAUUUACAAUUGUGUUGUCUUUUCCUGUGAACAGUUUUAGGAUUAAAGCUUGAGCCAAAUUUCAAUGAGCCCCUUUAGGAGAUAGGGAAAUUUAUUAAUACUUACUUUGAUUCAAGAGUGAUUGAGACAUAUUUCUUAAUGCACCCAUAUAGAGUAAUGUGAUAGAUUUUUGUGUGUUUCUUGUGAAAUCAGUUGUACUGUAUUAGAGACAAACCCUAUGCAGGUGUGAAUAUGUAUUUAUAUAAUUUGAUAGUGCUAAAGCACAAAUUUAUA